RNAcentral lists this ribosomal RNA (193 nucleotides) under uncultured Enterobacter sp. Its description in RNAcentral is "partial 16S ribosomal RNA". It matches the Rfam family "Bacterial small subunit ribosomal RNA", at positions 340 to 525 of the family's 1533-position model. Lineage: Bacteria; Pseudomonadati; Pseudomonadota; Gammaproteobacteria; Enterobacterales; Enterobacteriaceae. The record is from RNAcentral.
UACGGGAGGCAGCAGUGGGGAAUAUUGCACAAUGGGCGCAAGCCUGAUGCAGCCAUGCCGCGUGUAUGAAGAAGGCCUUCGGGUUGUAAAGUACUUUCAGCGGGGAGGAAGGUGUUGAGGCUAAUAACCUCAGCAAUUGACGUUACCCGCAGAAGAAGCACCGGCUAACUCCGUGCCAGCAGCCGCGGUAAUA